Molecule: ribosomal RNA, 478 nt
Filed under: uncultured bacterium
Lineage: Bacteria
Description: partial 16S ribosomal RNA
Rfam family: Bacterial small subunit ribosomal RNA
Source: RNAcentral
GACGAACGCUGGCGGCGUGCUUAACACAUGCAAGUCGAACGGUAAGGCCCUUCGGGGUACACGAGUGGCGAACGGGUGAGUAACACGUGGGUGAUCUGCCCUGCACUUCGGGAUAAGCCUGGGAAACUGGGGCUAAUACCGGAUAGGACCACUGCCUGCAUGGGUGGUGGUGGAAAGCUUUUGCGGUGUGGGAUGGGCCCGCGGCCUAUCAGCUUGUUGGUGGGGUGAUGGCCUACCAAGGCGACGACGGGUAGCCGGCCUGAGAGGGUGACCGGCCACACUGGGACUGAGAUACGGCCCAGACUCCUACGGGAGGCAGUAGUGGGGAAUAUUGCACAAUGGGCGCAAGCCUGAUGCAGCGACGCCGCGUGAGGGAUGACGGCCUUCGGGUUGUAAACCUCUUUCAGCACCGACGAAGCGCAAGUGACGGUAGGUGCAGAAGAAGGACCGGCCAACUACGUGCCAGCCGCCGCUGUAA